RNAcentral lists this ribosomal RNA (437 nucleotides) under uncultured Oscillospiraceae bacterium. RNAcentral describes it as "partial 16S ribosomal RNA". It matches the Rfam family "Bacterial small subunit ribosomal RNA", at positions 341 to 792 of the family's 1533-position model. Lineage: Bacteria; Bacillati; Bacillota; Clostridia; Eubacteriales; Oscillospiraceae. The record is from RNAcentral.
ACGGAAGGCAGCAGUGGGGAAUAUUGGGUAAUGGGCGAAAGCCUGACCCAGCAACGCCGCGUGAAGGAAGAAGGUCUUCGGAUCGUAAACUUCUUUUAUGAGGGACGAAGGACGUGACGGUACCUCAUGAAUAAGCCACGGCUAACUACGUGCCAGCAGCCGCGGUAAUACGUAGGUGGCAAGCGUUAUCCGGAUUUACUGGGUGUAAAGGGCGCGUAGGCGGGGAUGCAAGUCAGGUGUGAAAUCUAUGGGCUUAACUCAUAAACUGCACUUGAAACUGUGUCUCUUGAGUGCUGGAGAGGUAGAUGGAAUUCCUUGUGUAGCGGUGAAAUGCGUAGAUAUAAGGAAGAACACCAGUGGCGAAGGCGAUCUACUGGACAGUAACUGACGCUGAGGCGCGAAAGCGUGGGGAGCAAACAGGAUUAGAUACCCUGGUA